This 76-nucleotide transfer RNA is filed under the name bacterium. RNAcentral describes it as "tRNA-Phe". It matches the Rfam family "tRNA". Rfam says of the family: Transfer RNA (tRNA) molecules are approximately 80 nucleotides in length. The record is from RNAcentral.
GCCGCGGUAGCUCAGUUGGUAGAGCAUGCGACUGAAAAUUGCAGGGUCACCAGUUCAACCCUGGUCUGCGGCACCA